Molecule: ribosomal RNA, 253 nt
Filed under: uncultured bacterium
Lineage: Bacteria
Description: partial 16S ribosomal RNA
Rfam family: Bacterial small subunit ribosomal RNA
Source: RNAcentral
UACGAAGGGGGCCAGCGUUGUUCGGAAUUACUGGGCGUAAAGCGCACGUAGGCGGAUUAGUAAGUCAGGGGUGAAAUCCCGGGGCUCAACCUCGGAACUGCCUUUGAUACUGCUGAUCUCGAGUCCGGAAGAGGUGAGUGGAAUUCCUAGUGUAGAGGUGAAAUUCGUAGAUAUUAGGAAGAACACCAGUGGCGAAGGCGGCUCACUGGUCCGGUACUGACACUCAAGUGCGAAAGCGUGGGGAGCAAACAGG